Molecule: ribosomal RNA, 1372 nt
Filed under: uncultured bacterium
Lineage: Bacteria
Description: bacterial SSU rRNA
Rfam family: Bacterial small subunit ribosomal RNA
Source: RNAcentral
GAUGAACGCUGGCGGCGUGCCUAAUACAUGCAAGUCGAGCGAACGGACGAGAAGCUUGCUUCUCUGAUGUUAGCGGCGGACGGGUGAGUAACACGUGGAUAACCUACCUAUAAGACUGGGAUAACUUCGGGAAACCGGAGCUAAUACCGGAUAAUAUUUUGAACCGCAUGGUUCAAAAGUGAAAGACGGUCUUGCUGUCACUUAUAGAUGGAUCCGCGCUGCAUUAGCUAGUUGGUAAGGUAACGGCUUACCAAGGCAACGAUGCAUAGCCGACCUGAGAGGGUGAUCGGCCACACUGGAACUGAGACACGGUCCAGACUCCUACGGGAGGCAGCAGUAGGGAAUCUUCCGCAAUGGGCGAAAGCCUGACGGAGCAACGCCGCGUGAGUGAUGAAGGUCUUCGGAUCGUAAAACUCUGUUAUUAGGGAAGAACAUAUGUGUAAGUAACUGUGCACAUCUUGACGGUACCUAAUCAGAAAGCCACGGCUAACUACGUGCCAGCAGCCGCGGUAAUACGUAGGUGGCAAGCGUUAUCCGGAAUUAUUGGGCGUAAAGCGCGCGUAGGCGGUUUUUUAAGUCUGAUGUGAAAGCCCACGGCUCAACCGUGGAGGGUCAUUGGAAACUGGAAAACUUGAGUGCAGAAGAGGAAAGUGGAAUUCCAUGUGUAGCGGUGAAAUGCGCAGAGAUAUGGAGGAACACCAGUGGCGAAGGCGACUUUCUGGUCUGUAACUGACGCUGAUGUGCGAAAGCGUGGGGAUCAAACAGGAUUAGAUACCCUGGUAGCCCACGCCGUAAACGAUGAGUGCUAAGUGUUAGGGGGUUUCCGCCCCUUAGUGCUGCAGCUAACGCAUUAAGCACUCCGCCUGGGGAGUACGACCGCAAGGUUGAAACUCAAAGGAAUUGACGGGGACCCGCACAAGCGGUGGAGCAUGUGGUUUAAUUCGAAGCAACGCGAAGAACCUUACCAAAUCUUGACAUCCUUUGACAACUCUAGAGAUAGAGCUUUCCCCUUCGGGGGACAAAGUGACAGGUGGUGCAUGGUUGUCGUCAGCUCGUGUCGUGAGAUGUUGGGUUAAGUCCCGCAACGAGCGCAACCCUUAAGCUUAGUUGCCAUCAUUAAGUUGGGCACUCUAAGUUGACUGCCGGUGACAAACCGGAGGAAGGUGGGGAUGACGUCAAAUCAUCAUGCCCCUUAUGAUUUGGGCUACACACGUGCUACAAUGGACAAUACAAAGGGCAGCGAAACCGCGAGGUCAAGCAAAUCCCAUAAAGUUGUUCUCAGUUCGGAUUGUAGUCUGCAACUCGACUACAUGAAGCUGGAAUCGCUAGUAAUCGUAGAUCAGCAUGCUACGGUGAAUACGUUCCCGGGUCU